CCGACUUUAACUCAAGUGGUAGAGUGUUUGACUGUAGUUAUCAAAAGGUUGCUAGUUCGAGUCUGGCAAGUCGGA
Heterostelium album PN500 is the source of this 75-nucleotide non-coding RNA. The record is from the annotation of a RefSeq genome assembly. Lineage: Eukaryota; Evosea; Eumycetozoa; Acytosteliales; Acytosteliaceae.